UUGUCCGUAUUUGCUAUGUGUUAUUGGCACCUUCUGCCAGGGCACUGAGAUGCAGGAUAAUGCAUGAUGGCUACUGGGUUUAAAAAAAUGUAGUAUUAAGUAGUACCAACUUUAGUAGUUUACUGUAGCCAAGCCUCUACAUGCUCACAGAGUGGUCAAACAAAAUGAUUUGUAAAAGUCUGUGAAUUUCAGAAUGGCCUGAUCACCACCCCUUAUAAUGUAGAUAUUGUUGGGACCUGUGUUGCUUCUGUAACUCAGAGACACAUCCGCUUCUUCCUGCAGUAUGAAAAUGUCGUAAACUCUACAAGCAUUGUCAGAUGCUAGUUAAGGCAGAGUGUGAUAGCGCAAUGUACAUUUGUGGGGCUUAAAGCAUGAUGUAGGUUGAUUUUUGAUUCUCCUUUUGCAGUGGGUCCUGCAGCCCCAUAUCUUGAUCCUGACAGACAUGUUGCAUCGUUCCACAACCCUUCCUGCAUGUGAAUCAGAUAUUGUGUGCAGACCUGGAUGGCAUGUAAAAUAGUUAUUAACACAGAGUGUUUUUGAAAUGCAAAAUGGGAUGGAAGAGAAGAGAGCUACUUAAGAAGAAAUCUCAUAAUCUUGUUAUCCAUGGCAUUUCUAAGAGGAUAACAGGGUUUGGUGGAGUAAUUAUUUAUUUAUUCAAAGAAGAGUGAUAAACACCCASAGAGAAUGAUGUUUCCAAGUCCUCAAUUGCUGGAGAUGCUUUGAUCUUGACUGUAGAGAACAGCUUGGACUGGACAGCUGAAGUUAGGGAAGGCAAACUCCAUUCUCAGUGACAUGGGCAAACCCACUGGAGAAGUCUGGGCAUAGUUAAAAAAUGGAAGCAAAUGUCCAAAAUCCAAUGCCUUAACUGCAAUGCUGUUCUUUAUCUUUAAAGAGGAAUUUUAGGUGACAAAGAAGGAUGGAAGAAGGGAAGCUUCCUGCUGAGGCAAAGCUGAGGGUCAUCACUGUAGAUCUGCAGAUGAUUCCUG
Molecule: long non-coding RNA, 986 nt
Filed under: Apteryx rowi (Okarito brown kiwi)
Lineage: Eukaryota; Metazoa; Chordata; Aves; Apterygiformes; Apterygidae
Description: lncRNA (ENSARWG00000002819.1)
Source: RNAcentral